Long non-coding RNA from Pelobates fuscus (common spadefoot toad), 905 nucleotides. RefSeq lists it as uncharacterized. NCBI's taxonomy places the organism in Eukaryota, Metazoa, Chordata, Amphibia, Anura, Pelobatidae. The transcript is spliced from 3 exons. The record is from RefSeq and is a predicted model, not a curated record.
ACGCCCCUCUCAUCAAUGAUUGGCGUUUUGGACGCGGGAACUUGAAGCUCUGGAACAGAUGGAGCCAGACAAUGCUCAGGCUGCAAUGGCAGAUCUAGAGGAAGCAGUGAAGGAACUUGGCACAGAACUGGACCGACUGACCCAGAAUAUAGAUGCAGUCACUGAGUACCAAUCCUCUGUUCUCCGGGUCAGCAAAGUGCUGUGUGCAUGGAUGGAGAAUAUUGAGGCUUUGGCCAAACACCGGAAGAAGCUACAGCCGUCUCCUUCUUCCACACAUUGACCAAUAGACUACGUCUGUAUUACUCUAUUUUGAUUUAUCACACAAGCUUGGAACAAAAGAGUAAGACAUUCUACUUUGAGGUGACACUAAGAGACACACGUGUUGAUGACUGGACCCUGUGAGUCCUAUUCAAUGUAACUAGGCCUACCGCCUUCACGGAGCAAUGUAACCAGGCCUACCGCCAUUAUAAAGUAUAUGUGUAUCUUCGAAUGAUCUUUCCUUUUUUCCAGAAUGUGUGAUGUGGUUUUAAUAUUAUGUUUGUCGUGUCAAUAUAAAUUAUUUCUUCACACAUGGACGGAGCUAGGCUGUCUUCAUUUAAUAUAAGAUACUCGUGUAUCGUUCAAUCAGCCCACUUCAUGCUUAAUAGAGCAGACUUGAUCAUUGACUGAUAUGAAAGAUGCUGAAACCAAUCUACAUAGCCAUCUAAGUAUAAUUUGACUGCAUAUCAAUCAAACAAUGUAAAACGUGUUGAAUAAUCGAACCGGAACGUAACAGAAAUGUAUUUCAACGUUAAAGAGGAAAAGAAACUGCUGAGAUUUUCUCACACCAAUAAGUGAUUAAAAUUUAGCAACCAGCAUGUGCCUGUUGCCAAGGCCUCAAACUGCCUUAGUGUCAUCUACUUUAC